UACGUAGGGUGCAAGCGUUGUCCGGAAUUAUUGGGCGUAAAGAGCUCGUAGGCGGUCUGUCGCGUCGGCUGUGAAAACCCGGAGCUCAACUCCGGGCCUGCAGUCGAUACGGGCAGACUGGAGUUCGGCAGGGGAGACUGGAAUUCCUGGUGUAGCGGUGAAAUGCGCAGAUAUCAGGAGGAACACCGGUGGCGAAGGCGGGGUCUCUGGGCCGAUACUGACGCUGAGGAGCGAAAGCGUGGGGGAGCGAACAGG
Molecule: ribosomal RNA, 255 nt
Filed under: uncultured bacterium
Lineage: Bacteria
Description: partial 16S ribosomal RNA
Rfam family: Bacterial small subunit ribosomal RNA
Source: RNAcentral